Molecule: ribosomal RNA, 468 nt
Filed under: uncultured bacterium
Lineage: Bacteria
Description: partial 16S ribosomal RNA
Rfam family: Bacterial small subunit ribosomal RNA
Source: RNAcentral
GACGAACGCUGGCGGCGUGCUUAACACAUGCAAGUCGAACGGAAAGGCCCUGCUUUUGUGGGGUGCUCGAGUGGCGCACGGGUGAGUAACACGUGUGUAACCUGCCCGUGACUUUGGGAUAACUUCAGGAAACUGGGGAUAAUACCUGUUAGGAGCUCCUGCUGCGUAGGGGGGGUUGGAAAGUUUCGGCGGUUGGGGUUGGAGUCGCGGCUUAUCAGCUUGUUUGUGGGGUAGUGGCUUACCAAGGCUUUGACGGGUAGCCGGCCUGCGAGGGUGCCCGGCCACAUUGGGACUGCGAUACGGCCAAGACUCCUACGGGAGGCAGCAGUGGGGAAUAGUGCACUAUGGGCGGAAGCCUGAUGCAGCAACGCCGCGUGCGGGAUGACGGCCUUCGGGUUGUCAACCGCUUUCGCCUGUGACGAAGCGUGAGUGACGGUAAUGGGUAAAGAAGCACCGGCUAACUACGUG